Molecule: long non-coding RNA, 282 nt
Filed under: Paramuricea clavata
Lineage: Eukaryota; Metazoa; Cnidaria; Anthozoa; Malacalcyonacea; Plexauridae
Source: RNAcentral
UACUAUUUAAAACAUGAGCAGCAGUGUUUUAUCAGAUAUAAAGAUACGAGGCGAAGCCGAGUAUCUUUAGGUCUGAUAAAACACGCACUGCGAAUGUUUUAAAUUGCUUCAAAAACGAUCGAUCUAGUAAGUUGAUUGGCGAAGUAAUUUUCAAAAAAUACGUUGUGUAAGUCGAGAAAAUCAAAGUUAAAGUUUAUGUAAAUCAAGGGAAAUCUCUAUCACAUGUAAAGAUACGACACGCUUAUGAUUUUUUUUGUGUUUUCCUCAUGAAUUAUUAAUGAG